UUUAACUGAGCGUUCAGUUACUUGACGUAGACCCGAAACCGGGCGACCUACCCAUGAGCAGGAUGAAGCGAAAGUAAAAUUUCGUGGAGGUCCGAACCCACGAGCGUUGAAAAGCUCGGGGAUGACUUGUGGGUAGCGGUGAAAUUCCAAUCGAGCCCGGAGAUAGCUGGUUCUCCCCGAAAUAGCUUUAGGGCUAGCCUCAAGGUGAGAGAUACGGAGGUAGAGCACUGAAUGUCCUAGGGGGUAUUGCACCUACCGAAGACUAUCAAACUCCGAAUGCCGUCAUCUUAUACUUGGGAGUCAGACUGUGGGUGAUAAGAUUCAUAGUCGAAAGGGCAACAGCCCAGAUC
This 350-nucleotide ribosomal RNA is filed under the name Clostridioides difficile. RNAcentral describes it as "partial 23S ribosomal RNA". It matches the Rfam family "Bacterial large subunit ribosomal RNA", at positions 683 to 1033 of the family's 2925-position model. The record is from RNAcentral. Lineage: Bacteria; Bacillati; Bacillota; Clostridia; Peptostreptococcales; Peptostreptococcaceae.